ACAAUGCUCCUACACGUGCGGCCACCCUCAUCGUGUUAUGCCCCUGCAAGCCAGUAAGGGCACGCAGCGAAAUUAUUGGUGACUUAAGACCCUGACUUGUUAGAUGAUGCAUUGCCAAUAUAUGAAUGACUCACUACCGUUUUUGUAGGAGAAGAGGAGUACCUGGAGUUGAUCGAUGUGUUGGUCAAAGGUCGAGGUGAA
This 201-nucleotide long non-coding RNA is filed under the name Gossypium barbadense (sea-island cotton). Its description in RNAcentral is "long non-coding RNA (GBAR_LNC018627)". Lineage: Eukaryota; Viridiplantae; Streptophyta; Magnoliopsida; Malvales; Malvaceae. The record is from RNAcentral.